UUUCGUUUUCUGUACUGUUGUGGGAUUAACUGGCAUAUAUAGCAUUGCUAAAUGUCAACUAGCAGAUAAGAAUUGAAUGGAAAAGGUUCUUCCAUACUACAACCUAGAAAGUUAAAAUUGGAUGAAGAUUAAAUAUUUUCAGAUUGGUACUUUAUUACUAAAGAAUUUUACAACAUUUUCUUGAUUUUACCUAUCUGUCUGGAGAGUAUUUUCUAGUCUAUAUGGCUCUUACACAGC
RNAcentral lists this long non-coding RNA (237 nucleotides) under Cucumis sativus (cucumber). RNAcentral's name for it is "long non-coding RNA (CSAT_LNC000571)". Lineage: Eukaryota; Viridiplantae; Streptophyta; Magnoliopsida; Cucurbitales; Cucurbitaceae. The record is from RNAcentral.